CAGCAAGAAUCUGUGUCUCAGUGCUCAUGUGCUGGUCGCUCUUGUUGUCUGGCUUUCGUCAGAGCCUCACAUUUCCUACCUGUCACCACAAGGGGUGUCCAGGACGCGUUGUGAGCGUGCAGCCCCUGAAAGCUGUCUGCGCAGGGUAGCCUGGCUGUUUAGCGCUGAAUGCUUCUGUGAAACUGGAGGAGAGAUUCUUGCUGCUGCUCUUCAGGGAUUGUUGCUGUGGUGAGGGGCGAUAACAAAUUUGGAGGUGUGUAUUCGUGUACGAGGAGACGCCGAGUGCAUUUGAUUGAGGCGUCUGCCUGCUGGGAAACACUGAGAGAAGAGAGACAGAGGGAGGCAGUGAAAAGAAGAGGCAAGAAUAAGACUGAAGUACAGAGCAGCUGCCUCCUAAUACUCUGGUUCUUUUGGAUGCCUUAGUGAAUGUGAACAUGGAUUCUGUCACUGAAAUCUUCUUGAAGCUGCUGUUUCUCAUAUCUGUUCGUAACUGGAACAUGGUAGUGGCAGGGAAUAAAUGUUUUCAAAUUCCCAUGAACGUGUUUGUCCGUGAGCUCAGUCAGCAGAAUGGGUGGAGAAAAUUUGGUCAUGAUUGAUGGAUAGUAACAGACAAGUAAUGACACCCUCAAAGUAGGAUAAGAUCAGAUAGAAUCAACU
Long non-coding RNA from Oxyura jamaicensis (ruddy duck), 657 nucleotides. RefSeq lists it as uncharacterized. The record is from RefSeq and is a predicted model, not a curated record. The transcript is spliced from 2 exons. Lineage: Eukaryota; Metazoa; Chordata; Aves; Anseriformes; Anatidae.